AUGCGAGAUGUUGAAAGAAAUCAGCAUAAUGACAAUCAUAGAGACUGUUUAAAUAGUCCAUGUAAGCUGAACAUUCGAUCAUUAAAGAUUGCUGUAGGAUACCAUUAUUAUUGAAUCGUUUAUCAAGGUCUGAUCUUGAUAAAGAGAUCAUACCGGCUAAGACAGUGUACUGUACAAUAUCCUUGAACGGUAAUAAUUCGUAUGAUUCGAAGGUAGGAAUGCAAUCUAAUAAAAGGGAAACGGCACGAGUGAAAUUUCUUACGGCCAAACAAUAGAGCGCUUCGUAUGCCUUCAAUUUAUUUCGACAACACCAAUUGCUACCCAUAUUGCAGGAUACUAAAAAGAAAUCAUUGAAUAUUAAGUUCUUUUGUUCUUAAAUUUUUUAAUUAAAAGAAAAGAAAAAAAAUGAAUAAAUGAACGGAAUCGUUGACGUUGACAGUGUUAUAAUGAAUGAAAGAUUGGGAAAUUCAAAUUUUAUUAUUUUUGUGACGCGCAUGAACGCUCUAUUCGAAAAAAUCAAGAUGUUAAUUACGCCAUAUUUAAGUGAAAUACAAAGCGCGGGAUCGUAGCUAACCUUAGAUUUACUUUCUAAUAACGAGCAUUUGAGUGAUAUUAUGGCUUCUGAUAACAAAACAUUUACGAAUUUGCCAUGGGUUGAAAAAUAUCGACCUAAAAAGUUGGAGGAACUCAUCUCUCACGAAGAAAUAUUAAAAACAAUUAAUAAAUUCAUUGAUGAGAAUCAACUUCCUCAUCUUCUACUUUAUGGACCACCAGGCACAGGAAAAACCAGUACUAUAUUAGCUUGUGCAAGGAAACUUUACAAACCUGCGCAGUUUAAUUCUAUGGUGUUAGAAAUGAAUGCAUCUGAUGAUAGAGGAAUAGGUAUAGUCAGAGGACAAAUAUUAAAUUUUGCGAGUACAGGUACUAUGUACAGAUCUGGAUUUAAGUUGAUUAUUCUCGAUGAAGCAGACGCUAUGACAAAUGAUGCUCAAAAUGCUCUUAGGAGAAUUAUUGAGAAGUAUACAGAGAAUGUACGCUUUUGCAUUAUAUGUAAUUAUCUUGGUAAAAUUAUACCAGCUCUUCAGUCAAGAUGUACUAAAUUUAGAUUUGGUCCUUUGCAAUCGGAACAAAUUUUACCAAGACUAAAUGAUGUUAUAGAGCAGGAAAAUUUAAAAGUAACAGAUGAUGGGAAACAAGCAUUAAUGACAUUGUGCGGUGGAGAUAUGAGGAAAGUACUAAAUAUACUUCAGAGUACUUGGUUAGCUUUUGGAUCAGUUACAGAGGAAACAGUAUAUUCUUGCGUUGGACACCCUUUACCAGUUGAUAUAAAAAAUAUUGCAAACUGGUUGUUAAAUGAAUCUUAUGAAUUAUCCUAUUGUAAAAUACAAGAUCUAAAAAUUAAGAAAGGACUCGCAUUGCAAGACAUACUGACUGAAUUGCAUCAAUUUGUACAUAAAAAUAUUUUUAAGUUGAAUUCCCAGAUCACAUACUCAUAGAUUUAGUGAUAAAAAUGGCUGAAAUCGAAAAAAGGGUAGCAGUCGGAUGUAGCGAGGCAGUACAAUUAAAUGCUCUCGUGGCGGCUUUUCACAAAGCACGAGAGAUAGAUUUUUGAAAAAUAUUUACCGUCAGUAACCAACAAUGUGUCAGGUCGCUUCUAUUUAUACAACACGAUAGUAUCUUAUAAUCUUUAAUUACAUUCUGUCGUGAAUCUUAUCUACGAGAUGGAUCUCCCCGAAUUGGAUGUCAAAAUCUACAACGUAAAAUCGGUAGAGUCAUCGUGUCAUUCUUUCCAUAAAUUUCCCUUAGCUUGUAAAUUCAUCUGUGCCUAUCGCUUCUCGUAUACCGGUAAUCGCACGAAAAGUGUAGACCUCAUUCUCCGGAUGAUAGUUCUUUUCAACAGUAAGUUUGUUGUGUAUGUAAAACAAUAUAUGUACAUAUAAACUGUAUAUAAAUUGUCUUGAGAAUACUUUACCGUCUUGACAAGUAUUGUCCGAUCUGCACGCGAUUUGCUGAUCGUUAUUUGAAGAUAAUUGUUUAUUAAAAAAAAUCAUGUUGAACACGAACUAUCUCGUAACUGAAAAAACUUGUCAUUGACGAGAAAGAAAGUCGAGAAUUUAUCGUGUAGCUCUUGCGUAAACUCUUUGCAAACUAUGAAAAAAACGUCGAUCCCUUUGAAAAUUGUAUUUUAAUUUACUUCGGCAUACAUAUUUAUAUAUCUGUCGAGCGAUCGAUGAAACUAACGCUCCAGUUCUUAAUGUCAAAAACAAAAGUCGACGUUAUCGUAAUGUUAUACACGGUAACGUGGUAUUCAUCGUAUUCAUAAAUUCGAGAAAUAUGGCUCUCUGUCUCUCUCUGUAUCUCUCUAUCUCCUGUCUCUAUGUUUCUCUCUCUCUCUCUC
Molecule: unclassified non-coding RNA, 2398 nt
Organism: Vespa mandarinia (Asian giant hornet)
Lineage: Eukaryota; Metazoa; Arthropoda; Insecta; Hymenoptera; Vespidae
Source: RefSeq, a predicted model, not a curated record